CCUACGGGUGGCUGCAGUGGGGAAUAUUGCACAAUGGGCGAAAGCCUGAUCCAGCAACGCCGCGUGAGCGAUGAAGGCCUUCGGGUCUUUAAGCUCUUUCCUCCAGGGAGAUAAUGACGGUACUUGAGGAGGGAGCCCCGGCUAACUACGUACCAGCAGCCGCGGUAAUACGUAGGGGGCUGGCGUUAUCCGGAUUUACUGGGCGUAAAGGGGGCGUAGGUGGUUUCUUAAGUCAGAGGUAAAAGGGUAGUGCUCAACCGUAUUAAGCCGUUGAAACUGGGGAACUUGAGUGGAGGAGGGGAGUGUGGAAUUCGUGGUGUAGCGGUGAAAUGCGUAGAUAUUACGCGGAACACCAGUUGCGAAGGCGGCUCUCUGGA
This 377-nucleotide ribosomal RNA is filed under the name uncultured bacterium. RNAcentral's name for it is "partial 16S ribosomal RNA". It matches the Rfam family "Bacterial small subunit ribosomal RNA", at positions 338 to 733 of the family's 1533-position model. The record is from RNAcentral.